GAUGAACGCUGGCGGCGUGCCUAAUACAUGCAAGUCGAGCGAACGGACGAGAAGCUUGCUUCUCUGAUGUUAGCGGCGGACGGGUGAGUAACACGUGGAUAACCUACCUAUAAGACUGGGAUAACUUCGGGACACCGGCUCUAAUACCGGAUAAUAUUCUGAACCGCAUGGUUCAAAAGAAAAAGACGGCCUUGCUGUCACGUAUCGAUGCAUCCGCGCUGCUUUAGCUAGUUGGUAAGGUAACGGCUUAUCAAGGCAACGAUGCAUAGCCGACCUGUGAGGGUGAUCGGCGGCACUGGAGCUGGGACGCGGUCCAGAGGCCUGCGGUAGGCAGCAGUAGGGAAUCUUCCGCAGUGGGCGAGAGCCUGGCGGAGCAACGGCGCGUGAGUGAUGGAGGUCUUCGGUUCGUGAAACUGUGUUAUUGGGGAAAAACAGAUGUGUACGUAACUGUGCAGAGCGUGACGGUACCUGGUCAGAAAGCCACGGCUAACUACGUG
This 497-nucleotide ribosomal RNA is filed under the name uncultured bacterium. RNAcentral's name for it is "partial 16S ribosomal RNA". It matches the Rfam family "Bacterial small subunit ribosomal RNA", at positions 28 to 507 of the family's 1533-position model. The record is from RNAcentral.